AGGGGGGCUCGCGUUUUCACACAAACUUGAAGUAGUGUAGAAUGUCCUUUUUUGCGAUAACACGCAAUCAAUACAACUUUCAACAACGGAUCUCUUGGCUCUCGCAUCGAUGAAGAACGCAGCGAAAUGCGAUACGUAAUGUGAAUUGCAGAAUUCAGUGAAUCAUCGAAUCUUUGAACGCACCUUGCGCCCCUUGGCAUUCCGAGGGGCACACCCGUUUGAGUGUCGUGAAAUUCUCAAAACCCUUUCUUUUGGUCAUUUUUGACCAUGGAAAGGAUUUUGGACUUGGAGGCCUUUUUGCUGGUUUCAACCUUGAAGCGAGCUCCUCCCAAAUGUAUUAGUGGGGUCUGCAUUGUCGGUCCUUGGCGUGAUAAGUUGUUUCUACGUCUUGGAUUUUUGGCGCUGUACACCUGCUUCUAACCGUCUCAUUGACAACGAUGGUGUUCCGGUCGCCGCCGAUUUUUCGGUGGGAGGCUUGACCCACGAAACAAACCUUGACCUCAAAUCGGGUGAGACUACCCGCUGAACUUAAGCAU
RNAcentral lists this unclassified non-coding RNA (536 nucleotides) under uncultured Russula. Its description in RNAcentral is "sequence contains ITS1, 5.8S rRNA gene and ITS2". The stretch from base 75 to 228 matches the Rfam family "5.8S ribosomal RNA". Lineage: Eukaryota; Fungi; Basidiomycota; Agaricomycetes; Russulales; Russulaceae. The record is from RNAcentral.